This 468-nucleotide ribosomal RNA is filed under the name uncultured bacterium. RNAcentral describes it as "partial 16S ribosomal RNA". It matches the Rfam family "Bacterial small subunit ribosomal RNA", at positions 28 to 507 of the family's 1533-position model. The record is from RNAcentral.
GACGAACGCUGGCGGCGUGCUUAACACAUGCAAGUCGAACGGAAAGGCCCUGCUUUUGUGGGGUGCUCGAGUGGCGAACGGGUGAGUAACACGUGAGUAACCUGCCCUUGACUUUGGGAUAACUUCAGGAAACUGGGGCUAAUACCGGAUAUGAGCUCCUGCUGCAUGGUGGGGGUUGGAAAGUUUCGGCGGUUGGGGAUGGACUCGCGGCUUAUCAGCUUGUUGGUGGGGUAGUGGCUUACCAAGGCUUUGACGGGUAGCCGGCCUGAGAGGGUGACCGGCCACAUUGGGACUGAGAUACGGCCCAGACUCCUACGGGAGGCAGCAGUGGGGAAUAUUGCACAAUGGGCGGAAGCCUGAUGCAGCAACGCCGCGUGCGGGAUGACGGCCUUCGGGUUGUAAACCGCUUUCGCCUGUGACGAAGCGUGAGUGAAGGUAAUGGGUAAAGAAGCACCGGCUAACUACGUG